CCUACGGGAGGCAGCAGUGAGGAAUAUUGGUCAAUGGGCUUACGCCUGAACCAGCCAAGUCGCGUGAGGGAAGACUGCCCUAUGGGUUGUAAACCUCUUUUGUCAGGGAGCAAUUGGCGCUACGUGUAGCGUUAUCGAGAGUACCUGAAGAAAAAGCAUCGGCUAACUCCGUGCCAGCAGCCGCGGUAAUACGGAGGAUGCGAGCGUUAUCCGGAUUUAUUGGGUUUAAAGGGUGCGUAGGCGGAAUGCCAAGUCAGCGGUAAAAUCGCGGGGCUCAACCUCGCUCCGCCGUUGAAACUGGCGGUCUUGAGUGGGCGAGAAGAAUGCGGAAUGCGUGGUGUAGCGGUGAAAUGCAUAGAUAUCACGCAGAACUCCGAUUGCGAAGGCAGCAUACCGGCGCCCAACUGACGCUGAAGCACGAAAGCGUGGGUAUCGAACAGGAUUAGAUACCCCGGUAGUC
This 460-nucleotide ribosomal RNA is filed under the name uncultured bacterium. RNAcentral describes it as "partial 16S ribosomal RNA". It matches the Rfam family "Bacterial small subunit ribosomal RNA", at positions 338 to 795 of the family's 1533-position model. The record is from RNAcentral.